Molecule: long non-coding RNA, 4915 nt
Organism: Pongo pygmaeus (Bornean orangutan)
Lineage: Eukaryota; Metazoa; Chordata; Mammalia; Primates; Hominidae
Exons: 3
Source: RefSeq, a predicted model, not a curated record
GGAAGACAAAUGCUUCUCAUCUCAUGAGGCUGGCAUAACCCUUGUCAAAACCUAUCAACGGUUUUUGUAAGAAAAUUAAAGACCAAUAUCCCUUAUGAACAUAGCACAUAAAUUUUAAAGAAAAUAUUAGCAAAUCAAACCCAGCAAUAUAUAGAAAGAAUAAUACAUCAUAACGAAAUUUUUUUUUAGGAAUGCAAAGUUUGCAUUAGAAAAUCCACUGAAGUCACUGUAUUAGUAGAACAAAGGAGAAAAAUAAUGAUUCUCUCUAGAAAUGCAAAAAAAUUAUUUGACAAAAUUCAAUACAAAUUCAUUAUAAAAACUCAGAAAACCAGAAAAAAGGGAACUUCUUCAGCUUGCAAGAAAGGUGCUAACUUUUCAAUAGAAAAAGAUAGAUGCCUGAAGAUGAUGAAAUGACACCUGAUGGACUUAUAUAGCAUUUUAAAUAUAACAGAAUUUGAAAGUAAGGGUAUAGAAAAAGAUAUAUCAUGGAAAUAUUAUACCAAACAAAGUAGACUUUAAAGCAGGAACCAUUGCUAGAAAUUAGAAAAACAAAUCAGUCCUAAAUGUAUGAGUACCUAAUAACAGCUUUAAAAUACAUAUAGCAAAAAUUGACAAAACUAAAAGGAGAAACAGAUGAAUUCAUAAUCAUAAUGGUAGACUUUAAUAAACUUCUCUCAAUAACUGACAGAAUAAACAGACAACAGAAGCAGGAAGGAUAUGGAAGACUAUAAUGAACAAACUAGACACAGCUGCCAUACAUAAAAUACUGCGUUCAACAAUUGUAAAAUACACAUUUUUUUAUGUGCACCCCAAAUACUUACCAAAUUAGAUCAAGCUUUGUCCUAAUGAAAUUCCCAACAUACUUCAAAAAUCUAAAUUCAUUUUAACUAUAGUACCUAAUUGUAGCGGAAUUAAGCUAGACAUCAACAACAAAAAGUAAAAAUAAAAAUACCCAUCAGCUUAGAAAUCAAACAAUAUACUUAUAAGUGAUCCAUAGGGUCAAAUAAAAAAUCAGAAAAAAAAAUAUUGAACUAAAUAAUGAUAUGGUAUAUCAAAAACUGUGAAUCUAGGAGACUGAUAAUGCAUGCCUGUAGUCCCAGCUACUCAGGAGGCUAAAGCAGGAGGAUCAUUUGAACCCAGGAGAUCAAGUCCAGCUUGGGCAACAGCACAUGAGAACUCAUCACAAAAUAAACAAACAAAAAUUGUGGAACACAGCUAAAGCAGUGAUUAUAUAAAAAUAACCUUAAAUGCUUAUAUUUUUAAAAGAGAGGCUGAAAAUUGAUAAUCUAAACUACCCCAAGAAGCAACUAAUAAGAGUAAUAAUAAUAAUAAUGAAAAGAAAGGCAAAACAGAAAGAAAGAAACAAUAAAGAGCAGAAUCAAUGAAAUAGAAAACAAAUAUACUAAAACAACAUAGCUCCAAAUGAGACCUUCACAAAGAUGAAUAAAAUUGACAGACCUCUAGAGCAAGACUAAUUAAGAAAAAAAGUGAUGAAACACAAAUAACCAACACUGAGAAAGAAGAAGAGAACCUCACUACAUACCCAAAACACAUUAAGCACAUAACUUGAUAAUAUUAUGGACAAUUUUAUGCCAGUAAUUUUAGAUGAAAUGGUCAAAUUCUUUAAAAAAAAAUUUAACAAACCUAACAUAAGAAGAAAUAAGAAAUCUGAAUAUUCUUAUACCUAUUAAAGAAAUGAAAUGUUAGGCCAGGCAUGAUGGCUCAUGCCUGUAAUUCCAGCACACUGGGAGGCCGAGGCAGGUGGAUCACCUGAGGUCAGGAGUUCAAGACCAUCCUGGCCAACAUGGCAAAACCCUGUCUCUACAAAAUAUACAAAAUUUAGCUGCGCGUGUUGGCGAGCAUCUGUAAUCCCAGCUACUCGAGAGGCUGAGACAGGAGAACCACUUGAACCCGGAAGGCAGAGGCUGCAGUGAGCCAAGAGCGCACCAUUGCACUCUAGCCUGGGCUGCAGGAGUGAAACUCCACCUCAAAAAAAAAAAAAAAAAGAGAUGUUACCAAAACCUUUUCCACAAGAAAACUGCAAGCAGGCCCAGAUAACUUCUAAACGUUAAAGAAAAAAAUAUAUAUAUCCUACACAUAUACUGCCAUAAAACAGAAAAAGAGGUGUACUUAAUUCAUUUACAGUGACCAGCAUACUAUAAAUACAAAAACCUGACAAAAUCUAUUACAAUAAACAAAAAUUAUACAUCAUUUUCAUCAACAUACAAUGAUGUAAAAUGAUGCAAAAAUCUUUUUUAAAAAUUAGCAAUUACAAUUUUGCGGCAUAUUAAAAGGAUACUUCAUCAGGAGCAGUUCAUUGUAGAAAGGCAAUUGUGGUUUAACAUUCAAAAUCUUUAUAAUUCAUUAUAUGAAUAAAAAAUAUUAAAAAAUUCAUAACAUUAAUAGAAAAAAGAAAAAAUUAGUAUCUACUCAAUAGUGACAGAAAAAGCAUUUGACAAAAUUCAGUAGUUAUUCAUGAAAAACUCUCAGCAAACUGAAAGUACAAGGAAACUUUCAUAAUCUGAUUAAGAGAAUCUACAAAAACCCAAGAGCAGACAUCAUAUUUAACAACAGGAAUACAAUAUUUAAUAAUGGGAAUACAAUAUGAAUGCCUGUUCUUACUUCUUUUAUUCAAUAUUUAACAAGUAGCUGGCCGGGCAUGGUGGCUCAUGCCUGUAAUCCCAGCAUUUUGGGAGGCCAAGGUGGGCAGAUCAUGAGGUCAAGAGACUGAGACCACCCUGGCCAACAUGGUGAAACCCCGUCUCUACUAAAAGUACAAAAAUUAGCUGGGCGUGAUGGUGCGUGCCUGUAGUCCCAGCUACUCAGGAGGCUGAGGCAGGAGAAUCACUUGAACCCAGGAGGCGGAGGUUGCAGUGAGCCGAGAUCACACCAUUGCACUCAAGCUUGGUGACAGAGCGAGACUCUGUCUCAAAAAAAAAAAAAAAAAAAAAAAAUGUAGCCAAUGCAACAAGGUAAGAAAAAAUAAAAGCCAAAACCUGGAAAAAACAAACAAACAAAUAAAAGAAAAGCUAUAUAUUAGGAGGUUGGGGGGAAUAAAACUGCCCUUAUUCACAAAUAGUAAAAUUAUAUUCACAAACUAUUAGAAUAGCAAGGUCACUGGAAACAAGGUCAAUAUCCAAAAAUUAUAUUGCUAUAUAUUAACAUCAAGAAGAAAAUUAAAUUUAAAAAGCAGAGCUUCUCUGCCUAUGGGGUAGCCAUUUCUUAUUCCUUUACUUUCCUAAUAAACUUGCUUUUACUUUAAGGAUUUGCCUUGAAUUCUUUCUUGCAUGAGAUCCAAGAUCCCUCUCUUGGGGUCUGGAUCAGGACGCUUUCCAAUAACAUCUUCUUGGCAAACCAUGAAGGGAUGAUACUGAGGAGACCCCUGACCCAAAGGAAAUAGACUGCAGCACCAAUUGGCCAACUUUGGGACACAAUUGGAAAAACUGGUUAUUUUACCAAGGCAUUGACUGGAAUGGUGUGCUUUCCUUUAAGGAAUCAAAUUUGACUUAGAGAGCCAAUAAAGGCCCAUUGGGAAAACUGGCCUCAUACCUUGUCUACACAAUCCCUGUACAGGUUUCUUGACCUGUGGUAAGUAAAUAAUGUCAUUUUCUAACAGGCCCAGGAGCCCCAAGUUAUCUUGGGACCUCAAGAAGAGAGGAAUUUACUCAAGUUAUAGGUAUCGGAGGGUACAAACCCAUGGCUGGGCUCGGCUUUAAAAAAGUCUCAUCUGAGAUUCCUUAUGGAACAGUGUUCUAUCAAAGCCAAUUUAAAAAGAGCUUAUGUUUAAAAAAAUUAUUCUUGCUGCACUUUCUACAAAUAAUUAGGCUAAAUGUAAGACUAAAGCUUAUUUUUGCAAACAAAUCAGUUCUAUUAUGAUUUGUCUUUAGUAAAAAUGUGAUACUGGAGAGAGAAGAAAAUUAUGUUUCAAGCACUAUGAUACACCUGUUAUUGGAUUCUAGUCUCAUCAGUUGUUUUUGAGUUUUUUUCUGCAAUUUAGACUGACUCUGGUUAUUCCUGUGAACCCAUCAGUGGUCUCUGGCUGUUGCUCAAAAGAAACAAGACGGACAGGUAUCACCUUUUGUCAGAACUCAAGAGUUAUGAAUGGUCCUCACCAUACUGUUGCCUUCUGACUGAGCUCCUCUCUACCCGAAUACAAGAGACCCUAACAGUUAGGCAGGAAUAUCAUCACCCCUAUUCAGCCUGAAGAAGUUACAGAAGAUGAAUUUUCGUCCCUCUACAACCCUUAGGAUUAAGGGUUCCCUUGUAAAAGGGGGCGGGGGGGUGAAUAUGUCAGAGGUAUUUGAGCCAGAGCAACUCCGUCUUGAACAGCGGAUGGGUGAAAUAAGGCUGAGACCUUCUGGGCUGUACUCCCAGGAGGUUAAGGCAUUCUUAGUCAAUGGAUGAGAUAGGAGGUCAACAAAAGGUACAGGUCACAAAGACCUUGCUGAUAAAACAGCCUGCAGUAAAGAAGCCGGCCAAAACCCACCAAAACCAAGAUGGUGACAAAAGUGACCUCUGGUCAUCCUCACUGCUCAUUAUAUGCUAAUUAUAAUUUAUUAGCAUGCUAAAAGACACUCCCACCAGCACCAUGACAAUUUACAAAUGCCAUGGUAAUGUCAGGAAGUUACCUUAUAUGGUCUAAAAGGGGAGAAAACCUCAGUUCCAGGAAUUGCCCACCUCUUUCCUAGAAAACUCAUGAAUAAUUCACCCCUUGUUUAGCAUAUGAUCAAGGAAUAACUACAAGUAACCUUGGUUGAACAGCCCAUGCCACUGCUCUGCUUAUGGAGUAGCCAUUCUUUAUUCCUUAACUUUACUAGUAAACUUGCUUUCACUUAAAAAACAAACAAACAAAACCCAGUAACAUUCAGAAUAUCAUUUAAGAAUAUAAAAUAAAGCUGAGCACUGUGACACACAA